AUUGAACGCUGGCGGAAUGCUUUACACAUGCAAGUCGAACGGCAGCACGGGUGCUUGCACCUGGUGGCGAGUGGCGAACGGGUGAGUAAUGCACCGGAACGUAUCCAAUAAUGGGGGAUAACGCACCGAAAGGUGUGCUAAUACCGCAUACGCCCUGAGGGGGAAAGCGGGGGAUCGUAAGACCUCGCGUUAAUGGAGCGGCCGAUGCCGGAUUAGCUAGUUGGUGAGGUAAAGGCUCACCAAGGCGACGAUCCGUAGCUGGUCUGAGAGGACGACCAGCCACACUGGAACUGAGACACGGUCCAGACUCCUACGGGAGGCAGCAGUGGGGAAUUUUGGACAAUGGGCGCAAGCCUGAUCCAGCCAUUCCGCGUGAGUGAAGAAGGCCUUCGGUUGUAAGAC
RNAcentral lists this ribosomal RNA (402 nucleotides) under uncultured bacterium. RNAcentral's name for it is "bacterial SSU rRNA". It matches the Rfam family "Bacterial small subunit ribosomal RNA", at positions 30 to 431 of the family's 1533-position model. The record is from RNAcentral.